This 253-nucleotide ribosomal RNA is filed under the name uncultured bacterium. RNAcentral describes it as "partial 16S ribosomal RNA". It matches the Rfam family "Bacterial small subunit ribosomal RNA", at positions 524 to 776 of the family's 1533-position model. The record is from RNAcentral.
AACGUAGGUGGCGAGCGUUAUCCGGAUUUACUGGGCGUAAAGGGUGUGCAGGCGGGGUAUCAAGUGGUGUAUGAAAGGGCGCGGCUCAACCGCGCUAGGUUAUGCCAGACUGAUGCUCUUGAGGACCAAACAGGGCUGUGGAAUUCCAGGUGUAGCGGUGAAAUGCGUAGAUAUCUGGAGGAACACCGGUGGCGAAGGCGACAUCCUGGACCGGUAUUGACGCUGAGGCGCGAAAGCCAGGGGAGCAAACGGG